UACCUGGUUGAUUCUGCCCGUUUCAUAUGCUUGUCUCAAAGAUUAAGCCAUGCAUGUCUAAGUAUAAGCAAUUAUACCGUGAAACUGCGAAUGGCUCAUUAAAUCAGUUAUCGUUUAUUUGAUAAUACCUUACUACUUGGAUAACCGUGGUAAUUCUAGAGCUAAUACAUGCUGAAAAUCCCGACUUCGGAAGGGAUGUGUUUAUUAGAUAAAAAACCAAUGCCCUUCGGGGCUUUUUGGUGAUUCAUGAUAACUUUACGGAUCGCAUAGCCUUGCGCUGGCGACGGUUCAUUCAAAUUUCUGCCCUAUCAACUUUCGAUGGUAAGGUAUUGGCUUACCAUGGUUUCAACGGGUAACGGGGAAUUAGGGUUCGAUUCCGGAGAGGGAGCCUGAGAAACGGCUACCACAUCCAAGGAAGGCAGCAGGCGCGCAAAUUACCCAAUCCCGACACGGGGAGGUAGUGACAAUAAAUACUGAUACAGGGCUCUUUUGGGUCUUGUAAUUGGAAUGAGUACAAUUUAAACCUCUUAACGAGGAACAAUUGGAGGGCAAGUCUGGUGCCAGCAGCCGCGGUAAUUCCAGCUCCAAUAGCGUAUAUUAAAGUUGUUGCAGUUAAAAAGCUCGUAUUUGAAACUUGGGCCUGGCUGGCGGGUCCGCCUCACCGCGUGCACUCGUCCGGCCGGGCCUUCCUU
This 692-nucleotide ribosomal RNA is filed under the name uncultured fungus. RNAcentral's name for it is "SSU rRNA". It matches the Rfam family "Eukaryotic small subunit ribosomal RNA", at positions 1 to 698 of the family's 1831-position model. Lineage: Eukaryota; Fungi. The record is from RNAcentral.